This 468-nucleotide ribosomal RNA is filed under the name uncultured bacterium. RNAcentral's name for it is "partial 16S ribosomal RNA". It matches the Rfam family "Bacterial small subunit ribosomal RNA", at positions 28 to 523 of the family's 1533-position model. The record is from RNAcentral.
GAUGAACGCUGGCGGCGUGCCUAACACAUGCAAGUCGAGCGAUUCUCUUCGGAGGAGAGCGGCGGACGGGUGAGUAACGCGUGGGUAACCUGCCCUGUACACACGGAUAACAUACCGAAAGGUAUGCUAAUACGAGAUAAUAUACUUUUAUCGCAUGGUAGAAGUAUCAAAGCUUUUGCGGUACAGGAUGGACCCGCGUCUGAUUAGCUAGUUGGUAAGGUAACGGCUUACCAAGGCAACGAUCAGUAGCCGACCUGAGAGGGUGGUCGGCCACAUUGGAACUGAGACACGGUCCAAACUCCUACGGGAGGCAGCAGUGGGGAAUAUUGCACAAUGGGCGAAAGCCUGAUGCAGCAACGCCGCGUGAGCGAUGAAGGCCUUCGGGUCGUAAAGCUCUGUCCUCAAGGAAGAUAAUGACGGUACUUGAGGAGGAAGCCCCGGCUAACUACGUGCCAGCAGCCGCCGUAA